This 1131-nucleotide ribosomal RNA is filed under the name uncultured beta proteobacterium. RNAcentral's name for it is "bacterial SSU rRNA". It matches the Rfam family "Bacterial small subunit ribosomal RNA", at positions 159 to 1286 of the family's 1533-position model. Lineage: Bacteria; Pseudomonadati; Pseudomonadota; Betaproteobacteria. The record is from RNAcentral.
CGCGCUAAUACCGCAUAAUCUCUAAGGAGAAAAGCAGGGGAUCGCAAGACCUUGCGCUUUUGGAGCGGCCGAUGUCUGAUUAGCUAGUUGGUGAGGUAAAGGCUUACCAAGGCUUCGAUCAGUAGCUGGUCUGAGAGGACGACCAGCCACACUGGGACAGAGACACGGCCCAGACUCCUACGGGAGGCAGCAGUGGGGAAUUUUGGACAAUGGGGGCUACCCUGAUCCAGCCAUGCCGCGUGAGUGAAGAAGGCCUUCGGGUUGUAAAGCUCUUUCAGCCGGAACGAAAGGGUUACGGUUAAUACCCGUGACUAAUGACGGUACCGGAAGAAGAAGCACCGGCUAACUACGUGCCAGCAGCCGCGGUAAUACGUAGGGUGCGAGCGUUAAUCGGAAUUACUGGGCGUAAAGCGUGCGCAGGCGGUUUUGUAAGUCAGAUGUGAAAUCCCCGGGCUUAACCUGGGAACUGCGUUUGAAACUACAAGGCUAGAGUGUGGCAGAGGGGGGUGGAAUUCCACGUGUAGCAGUGAAAUGCGUAGAGAUGUGGAGGAACACCGAUGGCGAAGGCAGCCCCCUGGGUUAACACUGACUCUCAGGCACGAAAGCGUGGGGAGCAAACAGGAUUAGAUACCCUGGUAGUCCACGCCCUAAACGAUGUCAACUAGUUGUCGGGUCUUAACGGGCUUGGUAACGCAGCUAACGCGUGAAGUUGAUCGCCUGGGGAGUACGGUCGCAAGAUUAAAACUCAAAGGAAUUGACGGGGACCCGCACAAGCGGUGGAUUAUGUGGAUUAAUUCGAUGCAACGCGAAAAACCUUACCUACCCUUGACAUGUACCGAAGCCCGCCGAGAGGUGGGCGUGCCUGAAAGGGAACGGUAACACAGGUGCUGCAUGGCUGUCGUCAGCUCGUGUCGUGAGAUGUUGGGUUAAGUCCCGCAACGAGCGCAACCCUUGUCAUCAAUUGCCAUCAUUCAGUUGGGCACUUUAAUGAAACUGCCGGUGACAAACCGGAGGAAGGUGGGGAUGACGUCAAGUCCUCAUGGCCCUUAUGGGUAGGGCUUCACACGUAAUACAAUGGCGCGUACAGAGGGUUGCCAACCCGCGAGGGGGAGCUAAUCUCAGAAAGCGCGU